Molecule: ribosomal RNA, 253 nt
Filed under: uncultured bacterium
Lineage: Bacteria
Description: partial 16S ribosomal RNA
Rfam family: Bacterial small subunit ribosomal RNA
Source: RNAcentral
UACGAAGGGUGCAAGCGUUACUCGGAAUUACUGGGCGUAAAGCGUGCGUAGGUGGUUUGUUAAGUCUGAUGUGAAAGCCCUGGGCUCAACCUGGGAACUGCAUGUCGAACUGUCAGGCUAGAGUAUGGUAGAGGGGUGUGGAAUUUCCUGUGUAGCGGUGAAAUGCGUAGAUAUAGGAAGGAACAUCAGUGGCGAAGGCGACACCCUGGACCGAUACUGACACUGAGGCGCGAAAGCGUGGGUAGCGAACAGG